UACAGAGGUCUCAAGCGUUGUUCGGAUUCAUUGGGCGUAAAGGGCGCGUAGGCGGCGGGGUAAGUCGGGUGUGAAAUCUCAGAGCUCAACUCUGAAACUGCACUCGAUACUGCUCUGCUUGAGGACUGGAGAGGAGACUGGAAUUCACGGUGUAGCAGUGAAAUGCGUAGAUAUCGUGAGGAAGACCAGUGGCGAAGGCGGGUCUCUGGACAGUUCCUG
RNAcentral lists this ribosomal RNA (219 nucleotides) under uncultured bacterium. RNAcentral describes it as "partial 16S ribosomal RNA". It matches the Rfam family "Bacterial small subunit ribosomal RNA", at positions 524 to 742 of the family's 1533-position model. The record is from RNAcentral.